UACGAGGGGGGCGAGCGUUGUUCGGAAUUAUUGGGCGUAAAGGGUGCGUAGGCGGUUUUGUAAGUCUUAUGUGAAAUCUAUGGGCUCAACUCAUAGACUGCAUGAGAAACUGCAGGGCUUGAGUAUGGGAGAGGUGAGUGGAAUUCCUGGUGUAGCGGUGAAAUGCGCAGAUAUCAGGAGGAACACCAAUUGCGAAGGCAGCUCGCUGGGACGUUACUGACGCUGAGACGCGAAAGCGUGGGGAGCAAACAGG
This 253-nucleotide ribosomal RNA is filed under the name uncultured bacterium. RNAcentral describes it as "partial 16S ribosomal RNA". It matches the Rfam family "Bacterial small subunit ribosomal RNA", at positions 524 to 776 of the family's 1533-position model. The record is from RNAcentral.